AGAGUUUGAUCAUGGCUCAGAUUGAACGCUGGCGGCAGGCCUAACACAUGCAAGUCGAGCGGUAGCACAGAGAGCUUGCUCUCGGGUGACGAGCGGCGGACGGGUGAGUAAUGUCUGGGAAACUGCCUGAUGGAGGGGGAUAACUACUGGAAACGGUAGCUAAUACCGCAUAACGUCGCAAGACCAAAGUGGGGGACCUUCGGGCCUCAUGCCAUCAGAUGUGCCCAGAUGGGAUUAGCUAGUAGGUGGGGUAACGGCUCACCUAGGCGACGAUCCCUAGCUGGUCUGAGAGGAUGACCAGCCACACUGGAACUGAGACACGGUCCAGACUCCUACGGAGGCAGCAGUGGGGAAUAUUGCACAAUGGGCGCAAGCCUGAUGCAGCCAUGCCGCGUGUGUGAAGAAGGCCUUCGGGUUGUAAAGCACUUUCAGCGGGGAGGAAGGCGGUGAGGUUAAUAACCUCAUCGAUUGACGUUACCCGCAGAAGAAGCACCGGCUAACUCCGUGCCAGCAGCCGCGGUAAUACGGAGGGUGCAAGCGUUAAUCGGAAUUACUGGGCGUAAAGCGCACGCAGGCGGUCUGUCAAGUCGGAUGUGAAAUCCCCGGGCUCAACCUGGGAACUGCAUUCGAAACUGGCAGGCUAGAGUCUUGUAGAGGGGGGUAGAAUUCCAGGUGUAGCGGUGAAAUGCGUAGAGAUCUGGAGGAAUACCGGUGGCGAAGGCGGCCCCCUGGACAAAGACUGACGCUCAGGUGCGAAAGCGUGGGGAGCAAACAGGAUUAGAUACCCUGGUAGUCCACGCCGUAAACGAUGUCGAUUUGGAGGUUGUGCCCUUGAGGCGUGGCUUCCGGAGCUAACGCGUUAAAUCGACCGCCUGGGGAGUACGGCCGCAAGGUUAAAACUCAAAUGAAUUGACGGGGGCCCGCACAAGCGGUGGAGCAUGUGGUUUAAUUCGAUGCAACGCGAAGAACCUUACCUGAUCUUGACAUCCACAGAACUUUCCAGAGAUGGAUUGGUGCCUUCGGGAACUGUGAGACAGGUGCUGCAUGGCUGUCGUCAGCUCGUGUUGUGAAAUGUUGGGUUAAGUCCCGCAACGAGCGCAACCCUUAUCCUUUGUUGCCAGCGGUCCGGCCGGGAACUCAAAGGAGACUGCCAGUGAUAAACUGGAGGAAGGUGGGGAUGACGUCAAGUCAUCAUGGCCCUUACGACCAGGGCUACACACGUGCUACAAUGGCAUAUACAAAGAGAAGCGACCUCGCGAGAGCAAGCGGACCUCAUAAAGUAUGUCGUAGUCCGGAUUGGAGUCUGCAACUCGACUCCAUGAAGUCGGAAUCGCUAGUAAUCGUAGAUCAGAAUGCUACGGUGAAUACGUUCCCGGGCCUUGUACACACCGCCCGUCACACCAUGGGAGUGGGUUGCAAAAGAAGUAGGUAGCUUAACCUUCGGGAGGGCGCUUACCACUUUGUGAUUCAUGACUGGGGUGAAGUCGUAACAAGGUAACCGUAGGGGAACCUGCGGUUGGAUCACCU
RNAcentral lists this ribosomal RNA (1527 nucleotides) under Klebsiella pneumoniae subsp. ozaenae. RNAcentral describes it as "bacterial SSU rRNA". It matches the Rfam family "Bacterial small subunit ribosomal RNA". The record is from RNAcentral. Lineage: Bacteria; Pseudomonadati; Pseudomonadota; Gammaproteobacteria; Enterobacterales; Enterobacteriaceae.